This 447-nucleotide ribosomal RNA is filed under the name uncultured bacterium. Its description in RNAcentral is "bacterial SSU rRNA". It matches the Rfam family "Bacterial small subunit ribosomal RNA", at positions 331 to 793 of the family's 1533-position model. The record is from RNAcentral.
CCAGACUCCUACGGGAGGCAGCAGUGGGGAAUAUUGCACAAUGGGGGAAACCCUGAUGCAGCGACGCCGCGUGAGUGAAGAAGUAAUUCGUUAUGUAAAGCUCUAUCAGCAGGGAAGAAAAUGACGGUACCUGAGUAAGAAGCCCCGGCUAACUACGUGCCAGCAGCCGCGGUAAUACGUAGGGGGCAAGCGUUAUCCGGAUUUAUUGGGUGUAAAGGGUGCGUAGACGGAGAAGCAAGUUAGUUGUGAAAUCCCUCGGCUUAACUGAGGAACUGCAACUAAAACUACUUCCCUUGAGUACUGGAGAGGAAAGUGGAAUUCCUAGUGUAGCGGUGAAAUGCGUAGAUAUUAGGAGGAACACCAGUGGCGAAGGCGACGUUCUGGACAGUAACUGACGUUGAGGCACGAAAGUGUGGGGAGCAAACAGGAUUAGAUACCCCGGUACCG